CCCCACCACCGUGGCGAUUUGUCCCCCGAUUGCGGGCCACGUUAAACAAUCCGCUAAAGAGGACGGAGGCCCCGCGCC
Molecule: non-coding RNA, 78 nt
Filed under: Frigidibacter mobilis
Lineage: Bacteria; Pseudomonadati; Pseudomonadota; Alphaproteobacteria; Rhodobacterales; Paracoccaceae
Source: RNAcentral